Long non-coding RNA from Equus caballus (horse), 1569 nucleotides. The record is from Ensembl. Lineage: Eukaryota; Metazoa; Chordata; Mammalia; Perissodactyla; Equidae.
GUAUAUGUGCCUUUUCUUCCCACAGAGACUUUUAAGGUAAAAGGAAGGAUUGGGCUUUGAAAAGACCUUUCUCUGCAGUCACUCCUCGACCCCAGUGAUCAGCGUGGCUCCUCCGUCACUCCCAUCUGCUUCCUCCCCUUUCCUCCAGGCCCGCUGAUCCAGGCUUUGCUGACACGUUUGGAGGGGAGAGAGGGCCCCUCUUCUGUGAAAUGGGGCUCUUGACGGCACUUACCAGUGAGGAUGUUAGAAGGACUGUGUGAAUUUAUAGAGGCCACGUGCUCUGAGCAGGGUCUUGCACACGGCCGCCCUCAGUAAAGAGAGCCCUCUCCCAGCGUUGGCAUCCUCAGGACAGUGCUGUGGAGGGGGAGUUAGAGUCCUCAUUUCACAGAGGAGGAAAGCGGAGGCCAGAAGUCUCACGGCUGGAAGACGUUGGGGCAGGAUUGGAAUUCAGCUCCAGACUGCUCAGAAGCCUCUUACUGACGCGUGUGGUUGGAAAUGAAGGCUCCCAGGGCCGGGACGCUCAGGUUCUUCAUGUUUCAGGUGAUGAAGGCGAUUUUUAAUCGUGAUCCGUUGAAAGCUACGAGUGGAAAGUAACAGAAACAUCACCAAGGAAAUCCUGAAUGGCACAUUAAAACCAACCUGAAUCAAAGGGUUCCUGGAACACGACAUUGCCACGUGCUUCACAGCCUCCGACAGGAACAGAAAUCCCUCCUGUCCGAUGCCCGGGGCUCCUUGGGAAACCGUCUGCAGGCCCCUGAGCUGUCCAUGCUAUGGACUUCCCUUGCGGCCUGGGGCAGGCCGGAACCUCGAAGCAAUGAUAGUAAUUGUCUUCACGGGGCAAACCAGGCUUCCUAACCAACGAAUUUCCUGUUCUCCAGUUUGUGUGGUGACCACUGGGACAGCCACGCAGCUCUCUGGGCCUCCGUUUGAUGAUUUGGUCUGAGGUUUGCUGCCAAAAAGGCCUGUCUGUCUCCCCAUGAGCGUUAGGCCCCGGGGCCGGGGAGGGGGAAGCAGCUCUGAGGGCAGCUCGCUGUCUACUUUUCUUCCCUGGACGUCGGGUUAAUUCCAUUCUACCACCCUGUGUCCGUAUGAGUUCCAAUUGAAAAAAAAAAAACAGAAACCCAAACUUUCUUGCCCUCUCUGCCCUCAAGAUAACGUGAUUAAAUGGGGCAGAACUGGCCACCAGCUACACCAACAAUAUCUUGCAAUUUUGCUCUUAGCUGAUUAGAGAACACAAUGUCUCUGCAGAGAAUGGACUCAUUUAUCACAUCUCCCCGGAAGGUUCGUGCUGGACUGGGCUGGUGAGCAAAGCUCACUGCAGAGGAAGGACCCGAGGAGGGAGAACCCAGCACGCCUCUGGAAGCACAGAUUCUGCCUUUCCACUCAGCAAUUAAUCUCCUUUGGCUCUGCUAAAUUACGGCAGAGGCAGCAUCACUCUAAAGUGCAAAUACGAGGUGGCCAGUGGGUCCUGGAGGGGAGCAGCGAGCAACCUUGCAGAUGACAGCUGAACACCACCAGCGCGGUGGUCGCAGGGCGCACGAGUACUUGAAGGACAGGGAGGGGACCCUG